UACCUCAAAAUUCCACAACAGUCUGUUUCAUCAGUAAAGAAUCAUCAGGCGGUGAUGAUUCUUUACAUCACCGCUUGAUGAUUCUUUACUGAUUCUUUACUGAUGAAACAGACUGUUGCGGAAUUU
Non-coding RNA from Paramuricea clavata, 126 nucleotides. The record is from the annotation of a GenBank genome assembly. NCBI's taxonomy places the organism in Eukaryota, Metazoa, Cnidaria, Anthozoa, Malacalcyonacea, Plexauridae.